RNAcentral lists this microRNA (21 nucleotides) under Arabidopsis thaliana (thale cress). Its description in RNAcentral is "ath-miR5020b". The record is from miRBase by way of RNAcentral. Lineage: Eukaryota; Viridiplantae; Streptophyta; Magnoliopsida; Brassicales; Brassicaceae.
AUGGCAUGAAAGAAGGUGAGA